UUGUGAGUGUGGUUCUUGAUCACCGAGCAUGUAUAGCAUUUGUAUAUCAUUGCUUUUCAUAUGUUUACUAACCAAAAGUACAAAAAUAUCGUCAUCUAACCAUGUUGCUUGCAGCUGAAGCAAUCAUCAGUCAAACAGUCAAAUCAGGCCUUGAGCAUUGGAUGGUGACCAUUCUUGAAGAAUUUGGGCACCAUGAUCAUUCAUAAAGAGUUCUUAUAACUUGUGGUAUCAUUUGGAAUCAAGAUCUCAUCUGAAAGAGGCUUGAAAUUCAUCAGAACAUGGCCCAGUCAACCAAAAGUCAACAAAAGUCAACUGUGGUCAACUGUGCAUUUAAUCAGUGAUUUGAUGAUUGGAAAUGGUUGGAAAGGUCUCAUUCAUGUAUAUAUAAGCUUCAUUUGGCAUUUCAAAGGUCAAGGUUGAAGGAAUUGAAGUCAGACAGACAGUUUCCCAAAAUGGCAAGCGGACCUGUAAUUUCAGCUGCCCAAAAUGGAAAGUUUUUGACCUCAAAAACAGAAGUCCAAGGAAGCUUCAAAUGAAAAAUUGUUCAACAUGACAGAUGUAGAUCUUGUUCUCACCUUUCCAAAAAGUCCAAGAACUUGAAAAUCCAAUGUACGGUUUGCAAGAUAUGGCUCAGUGAAUUUCAGAAAAGACCCGUAAUCAGGAGGCCAUAACUACCACAUGGUUUAUCCAAAUUGCAAGUUCUUUAUAUGCACAAACUCCAUUUGAUAUGUACUUUCAUGGUGCAUAAUUGGAUUUUUCCAGAAUUGCUCAAUGCAAAAGGUCAAAUUUCAACUGGACUGUUAAAUGAACCAGGGGCAAAAUCGUCCAACUUGUGAAAUAAUUGGAAUUUUUGAGUGGGGAUUUUUGCAACACCUCACAAAUGGCAUUUGAAAUUUGUUGGAAUAUUCACAACAUGCCUAAGCCUUGUGGUUUGAGAAUUGGGUUUGAAAAUGAAUUGGAAAAAUGGACACAUAAGCCAUCACAUGGUGAAAUUGGAAAAUAUUGGGAAUUUGAGAACAAGGCCAAUGCAACCAGCUCCAAAAGGGUAUUUUUGACUUGUUUCAAGUGAUAAAAUUCUGCAGGAAAUUGCUUCUGAGCAUCAAAGGUUAAAAAGUUCAAAAUGCAUCAUAAGCUAUUUUUACACUAAUCCAUCUUUUAGCUUAAUUGUAAUUAAAGUAAGGUUAGGAACUGCAUAUAUAAUGUUAAUUACUAACAGAAAGAAAGGAGAGCUAACAACAACUAAUCACACUUUCUGCAAUUUUUUUCACAAUUCUCACAAUUACUCUCUCAUAAUCACUCUCACAACUCUCUAAUCACAAUUUCACAACCAUAAUUCACAGAAUCAAAAACUAUCACCAUAACAGAAAAAUCAAAAAGAGAGAAUUCUCUCAUUCUUCCAAAACUUUUCAUCAAGAAUUUCGCCUUUUCUUCUUCAAUUCUUCAAUUCUUUACUGAUCAUAGUGCUUAGCUAUCUGCAGUUGGAUCAUUGGUAUGGUUGAGGAUUGUUUUUUGCAGGAAUCCAUUGGAAAAGCAAGAAGAAUCGCAGCUGUUGCAAGAUCCUGAACAUCCAUAUCAGUCGCCGAUUCUUGAGCGUUUGUGCAUCGUUGAGCUGAAGUCGCGUCAUCAUUCAUCUGCUACAACCAAUUGCUGCAUCUGUUUUGAUAUCUUGAAGCUCAUCCGCGCGAUUCCGAUACUGCUAGCUUCGGAAGGUUGGAAAUCAAAACUCGUAGAUGCUUCGAUUUUGUUAGGAGUUCUGUAGUAUGUUCAUCAUAGAUUACAUAGCAGCUUGUAGAAUUGAAUAUUGUUACGAAUUGGUUGAGAAAUUCACGAUCUAGGUUUCGAAGCACUUAUUCUUUUCCUUCGAUUCUUGCUAUAUAUUGAUUGAUAGAUGAAAUUGAGACCGUAUUCUUGUUCCUGAUGCGAAACCGGUUCGACCGGUAUAUAGUUUGUUGAUUUCCAUCGCCAUUGUGUGAGUUCUUGCGAAUUCGAGCUUCGACGCCGUCCGUUUCUUUCCUUCGAUUCGCAUUAGGUAGUAAUCUAUUGUUGAAAUCGAGUAUGGAUUCACGCUCCUGAGACGAAACCGCUCCGAUCGGUGUGUCGUCCAUGCAUUUCCGUCGAGAAUCGCUCGAAACCGUCCUUGCCGUUGAAGAACACGCCGGCAUGCGAAGAAGAUGACCAAAAUCUGGAAAUUUCUAUGCUUCUGAUCUUCCUGGGCGCGUUUCAACCUUGGAUCCGUGUUUUCCCUGGCCAGAAUUAAAUCUCAGCCGUCCAUAUCUUCUAAUUGAAACGGCAGUGUUUAAGGCGCAGCAUUUAUAUUUACCAUCGCUGCCACUAUCAUUCAUUUAAUUAAAUAAUCCUAAUAUAAUCCUAAAUAAAUAUUAAAUAAUCAUUUUAAGACUUAAAAAAUUCAUAUAAUACUCAAAAAUAAUCCAAAAAAAUACCAUUCUUUUUCUGUUAAUCAUUUUUUUCCUCUAUUAUUUUAUAAAAAUGAAAAACAAAAUAGUGCUUGGAAAAAAUAUUAAUUGACCUAGAGAUAUUCUAAGGUGUGCAUAUUUUCAUACACUUUGCCAUUUUAAUUCUAUAAUCCACAUGCUAUAUCCAAAUUAAAUGAAAAUUGAGCCAUGAAUUCUUGACAUCCUUCUGGAUUUUUUGACAUAGGUUUGGGAAUUUUUUAGCCUAUGGUUUACUAUAUGUGAAUUAUGGAAAUUGGAUAUGUAUAUAUGCGACAUAGUUUGGUAUGCUGAAUUCCCCAAAUAUUUUCCUAUGCUUCCCAUUGGCCAAUGGCCCUAAUUUUUUGCAGGAAGUUUAUUUGACAUGUUAGCUAUCAUUGAUAAUUUUUGUGGAUUUUUUACAAUCAAUUUUCAAAUUGAUUCGUAUUUUUUCUUGCUGCCUAGCAUGUUAGAAUUCCAUUGGUGUAACCUUUAGCAUUUAUAUUGCCAUAUCCUCAUAAUUAAUCCAAUGGACAUGAAACUUUGUAGGAUAGUUCUUAACAUGUUAAGGUAGCUUUUGGCUUUGGUCCCAUGAAUUUUGAAGAUAACUAUUGCUGUUUGCCAUUAGAUUGAAGUUGAUGCAUAAAUUUAGGCUUCAUUUGAUGUUGUUUUUGCAUGCUUGGUCAUGUUUAAUUAAUUCCUAUUGAUCUACUAGUCCAAAUGACUUGAAAAUUAACAUGUGGCUUGCUGAAUGCCUUCUGGUUAGAACAUAAUUUUUGUGGAUUUUUUGGUGCCAUUUUGGCAUUUAUUUGAAUGUGAUCUUGCUGGUUGUUUGUAUGAGACUCCACAUUGCACCUUUUGCCUUCCAUGUUGCAUAAAUUAAAAUAGGUGUAUAGUUUGAAUAUGGGACCAAUUGGAAUCCCUUUGUUAUUGAUAUUACUUGAAUUUGAUCAUGAAUAGGUUGCUGUUUUAAGAUUUUUCCAUCUUUUUGACCUUAGGCUAGUCCUAGUGGUCAUGUUACUUACAUUUGAAGUUAAUUGUGCCUUUUCAGGUUAAGGAGUUAGUGAUUAAGGAAUUUGCUCCACAUUAUGGAUUGUGUUACUUGACACAUAUGACUAAUGUAUUUGUUUUGUAGGAUGUUUGGUUCAUGUACCCUUUAGUCGCUCAGUUCUCUUAAGAACUUGCUUUGCUUUGCUUAAAUAGCAACUUGCAUUGAGACGCACCUUCCCGGUACUACACCAGAGCCAACUCUGCAAGGUUUAUGGACCGUUUUGAGCAAGAGAAUUGUGAACUCAAGGAGGAAUUUUCCGGACAGAGUGCUUUUGAUGGACAAAUCCCGGGUUGGCAUUGGCUACUGUUCUGGGGCAUAUAAAGAACACGGUCUGUUCACGAGUGGAGGAUUUAUCCAUGAUGAUCAGCCUGUUGAAGAGGAAGCUGCUGCUAUCAUUGAAGAAGAUGCAGAGGACAUGAACAACUUUGUUAUUCCUGGUGGUGUCUGCCGCAAUUGGGUCGCUGUGGAUGUUCCUACAGUUAUCCAUAGAUCAGAGUAAUAAUGCUCAUUUUGUUUAAAACCCUUCUCCCAUGCCAAAAGGAGAAGUGAUGACAUUGUUGGCAGCAUUUAAUACAAUGAUGUUUUCAUUCAAUUAUUGCAUUGUAAAACAUUUGUUUUUCCAUUUGUUUUCACUUUUCGCUUUUUGCAUGAAAUCAGUGAUCACAAAAAACCAUGAAAAACAAGAAAACAGCUU
Molecule: long non-coding RNA, 4174 nt
Organism: Lathyrus oleraceus (garden pea)
Lineage: Eukaryota; Viridiplantae; Streptophyta; Magnoliopsida; Fabales; Fabaceae
Exons: 3
Source: RefSeq, a predicted model, not a curated record